Molecule: non-coding RNA, 113 nt
Organism: Acanthosepion pharaonis
Lineage: Eukaryota; Metazoa; Mollusca; Cephalopoda; Sepiida; Sepiidae
Source: the annotation of a GenBank genome assembly
UUACGGCCACACCACACUGAAACACUGGUUUCCGUACGAUCACCGAAAUUAAGCAACGCCGAGCCUGAGCACUACCUGGAUGGGUGACCACUUGGGAAGUCCAGGUACCGUAA